This 397-nucleotide ribosomal RNA is filed under the name Escherichia coli. RNAcentral's name for it is "partial 23S ribosomal RNA". It matches the Rfam family "Bacterial large subunit ribosomal RNA", at positions 2433 to 2825 of the family's 2925-position model. The record is from RNAcentral. Lineage: Bacteria; Pseudomonadati; Pseudomonadota; Gammaproteobacteria; Enterobacterales; Enterobacteriaceae.
AUGGAAGGGCCAUCGCUCAACGGAUAAAAGGUACUCCGGGGAUAACAGGCUGAUACCGCCCAAGAGUUCAUAUCGACGGCGGUGUUUGGCACCUCGAUGUCGGCUCAUCACAUCCUGGGGCUGAAGUAGGUCCCAAGGGUAUGGCUGUUCGCCAUUUAAAGUGGUACGCGAGCUGGGUUUAGAACGUCGUGAGACAGUUCGGUCCCUAUCUGCCGUGGGCGCUGGAGAACUGAGGGGGGCUGCUCCUAGUACGAGAGGACCGGAGUGGACGCAUCACUGGUGUUCGGGUUGUCAUGCCAAUGGCACUGCCCGGUAGCUAAAUGCGGAAGAGAUAAGUGCUGAAAGCAUCUAAGCACGAAACUUGCCCCGAGAUGAGUUCUCCCUGACUCCCUGAGAG